UACAGCCACAUCAGUUUGAAACACCCAUUCCUGUACAAUCACCAAAGUUAAGCUAUGUUGAGCCUGGUCAUUACCUAGAUGGGUGAUCGUUUGGGAAUAUCAAGUGC
Acanthosepion pharaonis is the source of this 107-nucleotide non-coding RNA. NCBI's taxonomy places the organism in Eukaryota, Metazoa, Mollusca, Cephalopoda, Sepiida, Sepiidae. The record is from the annotation of a GenBank genome assembly.